AUAUAUUGAAGAAAUUGGCAUAGAAAAACGAGAGACAACCAGUCGGAAGAGAGAAACUUUUAUUAAAAAGUACCAAGAUGGACACUAUUGACACUCACUCAGUUUAAGCCUCUACUUUGCAUAUCUGGAUGAGUGAAUCAGCGGUCUUCUUACAAACAUCAUUUAGGUUUGCUAUAUUUCCUCUUAUUUCUUGUUUCUUAAAUUUUUCAAUUUGAUCCGACAGAGCCGCAUCAAAAUUUAUUAACUGCAUUUCUGUGCUUUCAAGAUUACCAAGGUUACUGUUAAUGGCGAGUGCCAGACUCUUUUGUGCAUUCUCUAAGAUAUCUUGCAAGUAUUUUCCUUGAGCCUCUAUUCUCAUUUGCAGUUUAUUUUGUACCUGUCUUCACAAGAGCCAACAAAAUGAAAAUUGAUCACAAACUUGAGAUUGAGUUUGUUGUAACUAGAAGAAUUUAGCAAGGUGUACCUCGAGUUGUUCUAGUAUUGUUUUUUGGACUUCAACAUGUGAUUUAAGAGCCUCAGCAAUUUGCAUCCCUCUGUUCAAGUAAGUUAAAUAAAAAAUGGAAUAUUAUUAUGCAAUAGAUAAUCUCAGUUUCAAGGA
Molecule: long non-coding RNA, 598 nt
Organism: Cucumis melo (muskmelon)
Lineage: Eukaryota; Viridiplantae; Streptophyta; Magnoliopsida; Cucurbitales; Cucurbitaceae
Exons: 2
Source: RefSeq, a predicted model, not a curated record